This 443-nucleotide ribosomal RNA is filed under the name uncultured bacterium. RNAcentral describes it as "partial 16S ribosomal RNA". It matches the Rfam family "Bacterial small subunit ribosomal RNA", at positions 338 to 795 of the family's 1533-position model. The record is from RNAcentral.
CCUACGGGAGGCAGCAGUGGGGAAUAUUGGGCAAUGGGCGCAAGCCUGACCCAGCAACGCCGCGUGAAGGAAGAAGGCUUUCGGGUUGUAAACUUCUUUUCUCAGGGACGAAGAAAGUGACGGUACCUGAGGAAUAAGCCACGGCUAACUACGUGCCAGCAGCCGCGGUAAUACGGAGGGUGCGAGCGUUCAUCGGAGUUACGUGGCGUAAGGCGCUCGUAGGCGGUAUGUCAAGUCAAGGGUGAAAUCCCCGCGCUCAACGUGGGAACUGCCUUUGAAACUGGCAAACUGGAGUGUGUGAGAGGAUAGUGGAAGUCCAGGUGUAGGAGUGAAAUCCGUAGAUAUCUGGAGGAACAUCAGUGGCGAAGGCGACUAUCUGGCACAUAACUGACGCUGAGGAGCGAAAGCGUGGGUAGCAAACAGGAUUAGAUACCCCGGUAGUC